Etheostoma spectabile (orangethroat darter) is the source of this 1609-nucleotide RNA transcript. It is a transcript of the gene named cdkn1a interacting zinc finger protein 1b, with no coding region annotated. Lineage: Eukaryota; Metazoa; Chordata; Actinopteri; Perciformes; Percidae. The record is from RefSeq and is a predicted model, not a curated record. The transcript is spliced from 14 exons.
CCGCAGUGUUCCUCCCAGCCAACAGAGGGCGACAGAGCAACUCGGAGACAAACGGUGAAUAAGUCUGUGUUUACAUGUAGCCGAGCUAGUUUUAGCUUCUGCUGAGCGGUCAGUGUUGGUGAAGAACUGGUCUUCAACAUGGUCAAACAGCAGCGGAGAACAGACAGGUGUUUUGUACCUGCUGCAGGGAACAGUGUGACGUGGGUUCGUUUUCCUGUUGGCCCAGUACAAAGAAGACACCUUCAGCAGGUAGACAGAAACAAUCCCCACAGCCCCAUCACCACAGAAGAAGAGAGGGAAGACCCAGGACCUGACGAAGUUUCAGGAGACACAAAGAGGGCGAGACUGGACCGAACUGAAGACGCUGCAGCUCUGACCAAUAGAGAGAAAGUCCCAGGGUCAUGUGGUCAACCAGGAAGUGAGAGCUGCCCCACAGCAGAUGGCGUUUUAUCCAGACUGUCCUCUCCAGACCAGCCGGCGUCAGCAGAGCCCAGUGAGGACAGCAGAGCAGCUGAGCUGCCGAGUGUAAGUUCACUAAAGGUCACCAUCCAGCAGAGCAGUGAGAGCAGAGAGUUUGGACAGACAGACAGGACAGCUGACAAACAGACAGGUGGACUCCACUGUCACGUCUGUGACCUUACCUGUCGCUCUGUGCAGGUGUUUCAGGAACACAUGGCAGGAUCACGAACCUGAGGAAACUGAAGGGAUGACACACUCUAUCUGCCUCACACCCACACACACGCAGAACAGGGGGUGUUGGCCUGAACCGCAACGUUGGUGUGACACUUGUCAGACUCAUUUCAGCGGUGAUAUCAUCGUCCAUCGACGGACAAAACAACACAAGAUGUGUAAGCAGAUGUGUCGUCCCUUCUGUCCGGUGUGUAAACGUCACUUCAGGACUCCCAGGAAGUUUGUGGAGCACAUGAAGUCUGCAGAGCACAAGGAGCAGGUGCACCUGGAGGAGGCUCAGGAGGAAGAGCUGAUCACAGUGGACGCUGUCGGCUGCUUCGAGGGAGAGGAGGAGGAUGAAGAAAAGGAAGUAGAAGAAGUUGAAGUAGCUGAAGAAGAAGAAGAGAGUGUAGGAAAGGAAGAAGCAGAGAAGGAAGUGUCGGAGGUACAACCAAACGUUCAGGCAGCUGACGCACAGAAAGCAGACAAGGGGGAAUAUGACCCCCACACCACAUAUGGAAGUAGUUUUGUGCUUCCUGUUUCUGGCUUCCUGUGUCAAUUGUGUAAUAAGUUCUUCUAUAGAGAGACAACAGCACGACACACACACUGCAGGACGCACACGCACUACCUCAACUUGCAGAGCCACAGAGCUAAGAAAACACAUGAAGAUCAGGACAGAUCUGCUCUCAACUGACUUACUCUCACUGUAUCCCACAAUGCAUCUCUGUAUCCCACAAUGAAUCUCUGUAUCCAGGUGAUACUGCUGUAAAGACACAGAACAGGCAUGUUCUUCCAAAAUAAUUUAAACAUUAAACAGGCACUCUGCGUACACGUGGCAUGCCUCACCUUGUCGCGUCCAGAGGGGGCGCUGUCCCCGCUAAGCGCAGAGGAUUGUGGGAUAGCAGGAGGCAGUAGCGGAGCAUCACCAUCACCACCGCUG